RNAcentral lists this small RNA (117 nucleotides) under Marmota monax (woodchuck). Lineage: Eukaryota; Metazoa; Chordata; Mammalia; Rodentia; Sciuridae. The record is from RNAcentral.
GCCAGGUGUAAUAGUACACACCUGUAAUCCCAGCUACUUAGGAGGCUGAGGCAAAAGGAUCACAUGAGCCCAGGAGUUCAAGGCCAUCCUGGUCAACACAAUGAGAUACCAUCUCAA